This 497-nucleotide ribosomal RNA is filed under the name uncultured bacterium. RNAcentral's name for it is "partial 16S ribosomal RNA". It matches the Rfam family "Bacterial small subunit ribosomal RNA", at positions 28 to 507 of the family's 1533-position model. The record is from RNAcentral.
GAUGAACGCUGGCGGCGUGCCUAAUACAUGCAAGUCGAGCGAACAGACGAGGAGCUUGCUCCUCUGACGUUAGCGGCGGACGGGGGAGUAACACGUGGAUAACCUACCUAUAAGACUGGGAUAACUUCGGGAAACCGGAGCUAAUACCGGAUAAUAUAUUGAACCGCAUGGUUCAAUAGUGAAAGACGGUUUUGCUGUCACUUAUAGAUGGAUCCGCGCCGGAUUAGCUAGUUGGUAAGGUAACGGCUUACCAAGGCAACGAUGCGUAGCCGACCUGAGAGGGUGAUCGGCCACACUGGAACUGAGACACGGUCCAGACUCCUACGGGAGGCAGCAGUAGGGAAUCUUCCGCAAUGGGCGAAAGCUUGACGGAGCAACGCCGCGUGAGUGAUGAAGGUCUUCGGAUCGUAAAACUCUGUUAUUAGGGAAGAACAAAUGUGUAAGUAACUAUGCACGUCUUGACGGUACCUAAUCAGAAAGCCACGGCUAACUACGUG